CCAAUGUUUUUCUUGGAACUGGCUGAUUAUUCAAAUCUCUGUACAUUCAUUAUCAGCUUCUUAUUCCUUAGAAAUUCAUUGCAAGAUUUGAUAUAAAGCAAGAGAGAGACAAGAAAGAGGAAGAGGAGAGAGAGAGAGGGAGAGGCAUCUGAGAGGAUUGCCAUCUAGGUGUCUUUUAAACUGAGUAACAGGAAUUCAAUCUGGUGUCAUACUGCAUAUCACUCACACUAUGUGAAACAUUUCACUUCUGUGAAAAACAGAAGAGGGUAUCCUGUCUCAGUGGAUAGAACAGAUUUGACCAGCUGUGCUUUCUGCACACAUCUGGGGGAAGACACAGAGCCACAGGAACUUCUGAAGUGUUGAUGUCACCUGAAAAGCAGAAGACUGAAGGAUGCUGGGACUCUGCAGGGAGUUUAAGAUCAAAAGUGCAUCACUUCUGUAUUAAUAUGAAGAUCCCAUUUCUGUCCUGGGUCAGCACAAAACACGUGAUCUUCAGCUGAAGAUUUUCACUGGAGUCAGGGACCCCUAACUGCUAAUCUGACCCCUCCAGCAGAGACAAAGGAGAAAGAACAACUUGGGAUGCCUUUCCUCAUAAGGAAUUUCAUUUGUGCAUCAUAGGAGAUUAUAACAUUCCUGCAGUUAGUUCGAUGAUACCAAAUAUUUUAUCAGAUAUUCAUUAUAAAAAAUAGCUGAGUAACAACUUCAGAGUAGUUGUUGUUCAGGGCAUUUAUUCAAGACUGGAUACCCAAAAUGAUCUAAUGAAAAUAGAAUUAGAGACAAAACACCCUGGUUAGAAACAUCCUAUGGCUUGAUGAUCAGAACACCAUUCCUGAGGACAUAUGAUAAACUUUAUUUUCUACAUAAAAAGGAGGAAAAGGUGUUGCCCUUCAUGUACUCCACUAACCACAGAUGGAGUGCUUGGCAGCAGAUAGAUAAAACACUGGAGCUGCUGGCAGCAACCGCAGCACGAAUUUGGGGAUUCUAAAUACGAUCCUAACAUACUUUCUUCCAGCUAGAAUUAUGACCUAAAGUUAACUCAGCUUCAUUAUUUUAGCUCAGCUUUUCAUAUCCAUAAAAACUCCAGUUGCAAGCUAAACCUGGAAAGAAAAAAGAGGACUAAAAAGGAGACAGGUAGAAUUGGUAUCUCAUACAGCUUUUGGUAUUGUUCUGGUGAACAAUGCGAUCAUUCUCAUUCACUUUAUUUUUGCCAAUAUUUCCCUCAACAGGCUUAACAAUUGCAAAGGGAAUAGGUUUCUUGGGGACGUUGUGGAGUCUCCCUCCUCAGAGAUCCUAAAAAGCUGUCAGGAUACCACAGCAAUUGACUGUGGUCUCACUGAAUUAGGGAGUACCUUGAUGAGCUGUUGAGGGGUCCUUCCUAUACUGGGUGAAUUAGAGGCUUGAAUCAGAUGACCUCUGGAGAUGAUACGUACACAGCCCUGAGUUUAAUGACCAUGAGGCCAAAGGGAAAAGCAAGUAAAUAAAUGUCCACCUUUCAAAUAAAACAAGACAAGAACAAGCCAAAUUGCAAACUCAAUCAAAAACCAUUGCAAACCAUCAAAAACCAUGCCGAGGCAAUCUCCUUUCUUCCUCAAACAGCCCAAUUGUCCCCUGAGCAAAAGAAAGCACAUGUAUUGGGUUUGUCCAGAAAAGCUCUUGAUAAAGUUCACAUGACAUUACACACAAAUACAGAAGCAUGAGCCAGAAGAAAACAGUACUGGGUAAUGCCAGUUGUCAUUACUAGCACACUGUCAACACAGCUGCCUUGAGCAUAGUUUCGCAUAUGGUUUUUAAAACUUUACUCCACCAUUACUCAGAUUAUGAGGGGGAAAAAUUGGGGAAAACCCCAUAUAUGUUUAUUAGACAUAAACCAAAAUUAAAGAGAGAAUAAGCAUGCUGGAGAACAGUAUCUGAAAAUAAAGUUAUAAAUUUCAAAUCAAGGUCUGAAAGAUGCUACUUAGUUCUAUGAGUCUAUCACCCUUGUAAACUCAUCAUUUCUUACAAGUAGAAGAGUUUCAUGUGAUUAGAUAGAGAUAUAUUUAUUUGCAUAAAUUUGUGUGUAUAUAGAUACCCAUAUGUGUAUAUGUGCACAUAUGUUUAUGUGCAUAAAUACAUAUUUAUAUGCUGUGUUUAUUUGUGUAUGUGUAACAUCAGCCAAGGCAGAUGAAAAAUAAUGUCAUGGACAAGAUGACAGAAAUUAUCCCAUUCCAUGGGAUCUUCUGAACAGGAGUCAAAUCAAGACUUCAGGAAGUUUUGACAAUCUGCAAAGUCCCUUAAUUGAGUUAUUAGCAGUGUCUCACUGGAAGGGGGAAAAGCUAUGAUAUAUCUGGUAGGCAUUUGACCUUUCUGCUGAACAGAUCAUUACUAUCAAGUAAGAUUAAGAGUGGUUUCCUGUUCUAGUCUGACUUGAAGCUUAACCACACUGGGGAAGAUCAUAUGCUACAGGAAUUGAUUUACUGUUGGAAACAAAAACAUACUGGAAACAGUAAUGUAGAAUAAAAUUAAAUCCCCCAGCCCUCCACCCAAAACUAAAGAAUAGAAAGAAACACUUGUGAACAUGCCUGCAGAAUUUUCAUAGCCUUAAACUAAUUAAAUAAAACACAUUUUUCAAUCAGUAUACUGAAACAGUUUGUCAUCUACAUCCACAGAUAAUUUAAAAUAAUUCUUCCUAAUUUUUAUUCUAAUGAAAAUCUUGGCCCAGAAAUCCUCCCAUACCACUGUUUUGCAACAAGUAUGUAGACAUUCCCUAGACAUAAGCUCUGACAGGGGAAAAAAACCCAAGCAUCAAAAACAAAUUCAAAAAAUCAGGGAAUCAACCAAAGUAUUGCUAAGCCAAAACAUAGUAUGUAUUCCUCAAUUAUUGUUUCUAGUCUGUGAAAUUUUCUUUAUUGAUAUUUCCCAUUGCUUUGGAAUUAUCAAUUACCUUCUUCAAUAGAGAAAAUCUGUGCAUUUCCAAAUGUCAGCAAUGAGCAGCAGCAGAUGUAUGGAAAAACAAGGCAAGUUUACUGAUUAAUGCUGAUUUGUACUUCAUGUUACAGUCACUGCAAGUAAUCUAACCAAGAAAAUAGAGAGGUUAUCCAGAAUGACAGAGUUAAAUUACUGAAAAAGAUUUUGCCAGUUUACACAUGUAAAUCAUAUUUAGAUGGUGAUACCAGUAAAAGGAAGUGAAGUAACAGGUCAUGAUAGCACAGAGCUUGAGGGACAGUGGGGGUGGUUACUGGAGAGAUUGAUCCUUGUCCAGAGUUCUCAGUUUUAUACUCUGAAAAGUAAAUAAGCAAGUUGUGAGAUUCAUUUUGAAAGUGUUUCAACUGCUUCAGUUUUACUCAGUAAUUUGUACUGCCCUGAGUUAUGAAAUCUAUGAAAUAGUUUUUUAAGGCUGAUUCAUCCACAAAUCAAUCCUAAAAACACCAAAUGACAUACACAGACUGGUUGUACCACCUGCAGCAUCUGAUAGGCUUCCUUAGGCUGUCUGUAAACAUGACAUCCCUUCCUUAAACAAAUCCAGGUGUUACAUCACAGAAGCAAGGCACUUGAUUAUUCUUGUUUUUCUUUGGGUAAUCAGUGCCUGCUGAGAAGUCAGGUCAAUUGGACAAACACUGCAAUUUUUUCAUGUUACUGAAUGUUCUUGGAUUCCUUUCCUAUACAAUAAACAGGUCAUAUUAUCUUCCUUGACUCUUAGCAUCUAGAUAUCCCAUUCGCCCAGGAUGGCAAUCAUCUCUUACAUACACGAAAAUGGUUAAAAUCUUUUUCAAUAUUCAAAAUGUCGAGUCCUAACUUUUACCUUAGUAAGACAGCUAUCAUAGGGACUAAAUGGUUUGGCGAUACCUGGAAUGCUUACUGCAUAGAAAUGCACUCAGCCUUUCAGGAAGAAGAAGCUAUGGCAGGAAUGUAAGAGAAAACUUCAAACAAGAUGGUGUUAUUGUGCUUGAGAGGGAAUGUCAGUAUGGCCUUGCUAACUUCGCUUAGUCACUGCAGAACAUGCUGCUGAGAGGAGCACUCGCAGUGGGGGCUGCUGAUAGGUAAAAAAAUGUAGAGGGGGAUUAAGUAUUUUCACAGAAGUAUAGAAACAUAGUGAAUUAGCCAAACACUUAAGACAGCUGUUGCAAAUGUCUGUCCUCUGGGAAGAAGUUUUUUCAACAAUACCUAAAGUACAAGACUGUUACACAAGAUGAAAACCAGAGUGCUCAGAAUUGCUUACCAGCUGCUGGUGCACCAUAUUUAUGAGUACAUAUGAGGCACAACUGAAACAGAUAAAAACCAUCAUGGUCAAGCAUUGAAGACUUCUAGUAAUUUGUAUAAUUCUUUCUGCAAAGUCAAUGUGAAAAUUAUUUAUUAAUAGUGUAAUUAAUAGUGUAAUUGUAAUUAACGUUACUUGUUAAAUAGGUAAUAUCAGAUAAUACCAGCAAGUUAAAGAGUUUCAUGAAGCAAGUAUUGAUAUGAAAGACAUCCAUAAAUUAUAAAAGAAUUCUAGCAAAAAUAAAUGGAAAUGAAAGACUAAUGAUAAGUCAAAGCCUACUUCUUAUUCCAGAAAUUUGCAACCUGAAAACCAG
Molecule: non-coding RNA, 4547 nt
Organism: Cyanistes caeruleus (blue tit)
Lineage: Eukaryota; Metazoa; Chordata; Aves; Passeriformes; Paridae
Source: RefSeq, a predicted model, not a curated record